Long non-coding RNA from Paramormyrops kingsleyae, 958 nucleotides. RefSeq lists it as uncharacterized. The record is from RefSeq and is a predicted model, not a curated record. NCBI's taxonomy places the organism in Eukaryota, Metazoa, Chordata, Actinopteri, Osteoglossiformes, Mormyridae.
ACGGUAAGCGUGAUUAAUUGUAUUUGACUGUUUUAAAACAUGGCUCUGGAUAUAAUGCUUGCAUAUAGGGGGGAUCAGUGCGAAAAGCUUCAUGCACAGUUACGCGCAGCGUCUUGCAUGACCUCAGCACUGCAUGACAGCAAACGGCACAGGCAGAGCUUCGCUUCUCAUUCGUGCGAGCAGCCAAAGCCAAGAACAGACCGCACUGCUGCAGCUGUCACCUGUGCCGAUUUUAUCUCCACUAAAUCUGCCCUGGAGUCGCACUGAAGGACGAUCGAAAAAUACUAAAUCAUAAUUAUGCGGUAUUUUUUUUUUUAUUUAUUUAGAAUUGUUCCGAAACUGCGAAGUACUUUCAGAAUGAAUUGGAAACGAUAGAGAGCAAAUGCACCGUCAAAAAACCAAGCACCGUUCUUCACGUCAAAGGAAUUUUGGAAAAGAUAAGAGUCAAGAAGGAUGCGAAGUGCAUCUUUAAGACCAACGAGACGGUGUCUUACAAGUCCUUUCUCGACAAAUUUAAGAAUCUCGUAGAGCAAUACAACAGCUCUCUCGAUAACUGCACCACCUCUUAAUCUAGUUUGCUGUACCAGAAAAUACAGUUUUACUUUAUCAUUGGUUGAAUAAUAAUGAUAACGAUAAUAAUAAUCGCUCGUGCCUUCAAAUUAUUUUUGUACUUUUUAUAAGGUUUACACUGUGCCUUGUAUGCUUAAGAACAUUAUGGACUUUAUUUAUUUUGUAUUGUAAAUUAACAUGUGUGCGUAAACUUGUUGAAUGUUCUACUGCUGAUGUGAAAUACAAGACAGUUCUCAGGGUUUUACUUGAAUGUAUGUCAUAAGCUCUAAAACAUCUUACUAAAAUAUAAUGUAUUUAUUUAUUUAAUUCUAUUUAUUUAAAAGCGUAUUUAUAAAACUGUAAUAAUGAUUUUGUUUAAAUAAACAAUUGCACUGAAGGUAUUUGCAAA